GUGGGUAUAGCUCAGUUGGUUAGAGCGCCAGAUUGUGGCUCUGGAGGUCAUGAGUUCGAAUCUCACUACCCACCCCA
RNAcentral lists this transfer RNA (77 nucleotides) under Clostridiales bacterium. Its description in RNAcentral is "tRNA-His". It matches the Rfam family "tRNA". Rfam says of the family: Transfer RNA (tRNA) molecules are approximately 80 nucleotides in length. Their secondary structure includes four short double-helical elements and three loops (D, anti-codon, and T loops). Further hydrogen bonds mediate the characteristic L-shaped molecular structure. tRNAs have two regions of fundamental functional importance: the anti-codon, which is responsible for specific mRNA codon recognition, and the 3' end, to which the tRNAs corresponding amino acid is attached (by aminoacyl-tRNA synthetases). tRNAs cope with the degeneracy of the genetic code in two manners: having more than one tRNA (with a specific anti-codon) for a particular amino acid; and 'wobble' base-pairing, i.e. permitting non-standard base-pairing at the 3rd anti-codon position. Lineage: Bacteria; Bacillati; Bacillota; Clostridia; Eubacteriales. The record is from RNAcentral.